AUCUACAGCCAUGCCACCCUAAACACACCUGAUCUUGUCUGAUCUCGGAAGCUAAGCAGGGUUGGGCCUGGUUAGUACUGGGAUGGGAGACCACCUAGGAAGACCUGGUGCUGUAGGUG
RNAcentral lists this ribosomal RNA (119 nucleotides) under Pteropus alecto (black flying fox). RNAcentral also lists the same sequence under 1 other name. The record is from RNAcentral. Lineage: Eukaryota; Metazoa; Chordata; Mammalia; Chiroptera; Pteropodidae.